Molecule: ribosomal RNA, 572 nt
Filed under: Paecilomyces variotii
Lineage: Eukaryota; Fungi; Ascomycota; Eurotiomycetes; Eurotiales; Thermoascaceae
Description: eukaryotic LSU rRNA
Rfam family: Eukaryotic large subunit ribosomal RNA
Source: RNAcentral
GGAAAAGAAACCAACAGGGAUUGCCCCAGUAACGGCGAGUGAAGCGGCAAGAGCUCAAAUUUGAAAUCUGGCCCCUCCGGGGUCCGAGUUGUAAUUUGCAGAGGAUGCUUCGGGCGCGGUCCCCGUCUAAGUACCCUGGAACGGGUCGUCAUAGAGGGUGAGAAUCCCGUCUGGGACGGGUGGCCGUGUCCGUGUGAAGCUCCUUCGACGAGUCGAGUUGUUUGGGAAUGCAGCUCUAAAUGGGUGGUAAAUUUCAUCUAAAGCUAAAUAUUGGCCGGAGACCGAUAGCGCACAAGUAGAGUGAUCGAAAGAUGAAAAGCACUUUGAAAAGAGAGUUAAACAGCACGUGAAAUUGUUGAAAGGGAAGCGCUUGCGACCAGACUCGCCCGCGGGGGUUCAGCCGGUACUCGUACCGGUGUACUCCCCCGGGGGCGGGCCAGCGUCGGUUUGGGCGGUCGGUCAAAGGCCUCCGGAAUGUGUCGCCCCCCGGGGCGUCUUAUAGCCGGAGGUGCAAUGCGGCCAGCCUGGACCGAGGAACGCGCUUCGGCUCGGACGCUGGCGUAAUGGUCGUA